This 253-nucleotide ribosomal RNA is filed under the name uncultured bacterium. RNAcentral's name for it is "partial 16S ribosomal RNA". It matches the Rfam family "Bacterial small subunit ribosomal RNA", at positions 524 to 776 of the family's 1533-position model. The record is from RNAcentral.
UACAGAGGGUGCAAGCGUUAAUCGGAAUUACUGGGCGUAAAGCGCACGUAGGUGGUUUGACAAGUUGGGUGUGAAAUCCCCGGGCUUAACCUGGGAACUGCAUUCAAAACUAUCAGACUAGAGUAGAGUAGAGGGAAGUGGAAUUUCCGGUGUAGCGGUGAAAUGCGUAGAUAUCGGAAGGAACACCAGUGGCGAAGGCGGCUUCCUGGACUCAUACUGACACUGAGGUGCGAAAGCGUGGGGAGCAAACAGG